CUUGGAUUCAUUGAGGUUAACUUCAUUACUACCAGCCAUGAGAAUGACUCCGUACAGCAAGAGCUAAAAAGGACUAAGAGGUAAAUUAAGCGAGAACCCAGCAGAGAAAAUGAUCUUCAGAAAAAGCUUGACAUUCAUUUAUUUAGAUUCACAAGAGUGAUAUGAAAUAAGAUGAAAAGCCCAGAAAACAACUUCCAUCUGCCUAUUCCUCUGUUUUCUCUGGCGUGAGACCCUGCGGAGCUAUAAUAUAAGUAGGCCGUGUCUCUUUUUGUACCCUUCUUAUCUCUUUUCUUUCUUUCCUGUUGAUUGAUUCCUCGUUUAGAGUUCUGAACAAGCAAGGAAGCGACACUUGUUUCUGAAAUAAGGGAACAGCGAGUGUGAGAGAUAGAUAGAUAGCGAGAGAAAAAAAAAAUCGAUGACAAAUAUAUCAUCUAGAGAGAGAAACAAAAAGUACAG
RNAcentral lists this unclassified non-coding RNA (456 nucleotides) under Hevea brasiliensis (rubber tree). Lineage: Eukaryota; Viridiplantae; Streptophyta; Magnoliopsida; Malpighiales; Euphorbiaceae. The record is from RNAcentral.